Molecule: non-coding RNA, 3944 nt
Organism: Camellia sinensis
Lineage: Eukaryota; Viridiplantae; Streptophyta; Magnoliopsida; Ericales; Theaceae
Source: RefSeq, a predicted model, not a curated record
UUUCGAAGCGAUUUCGAAGAUUCAGAUCGAUUUCGAGAUUCAGAGCGAUUUCAAAGCUCCAUCGCCACCACCUCUGCACCGGCGAGAGAUUCAGAGAUGCAGUGAUUCAGUGAUUUCAGAGCGAUUUUGAUUUCGAAGCUCCAUCCCCACCACCAUCUGCACCGGUGAUUUUGAUUUCACUAAGGUUGACGUUCACUUGUGAAGACCAUGUCUCAUCACCAAGUGGAUGAUGCUGAAUACAUGGCAGAUAAAUAUGAAAUGGAAGAUGUGGAUGAUGAUAUGGACGAGGAGUUUCGUGGAAGAGAGAUGGGUGGCUCAGACUCUGAUGUGGAUGAAUAUGACUACUUGGUUUGUGAUAUAAACUUUAUAAAGUUUGAACCAUAGUUUGUUGUCAUGAUAUGCUAUCUAACUGCAAGUCUUACCACUUUUCUUUGUUUAUUUCUCUCCUAUUGGCAUGUUUUUUCUCUCUUUUUUUCAAGUAACUUUUAGAUGUUUUUUCCCAUCAAGCUCAGGAUAUAUGAAAUACUAACUGUUUGGUACCUAUUUAGAAUAAUAAAAUGGCAUAUACUUCUGCUGCUCAAGCUAGGAGAGGUAAAGAUAUCCAAAGAAUUCCUUGGGCGACAGUACUAUUUUAAUUACAUUUUACUAUAAGACAUGCUGUGUGUUUUCACUCAUUUUAAUUGCAUUUGUAUUGGCAAUCUUCUACUAUUUUAAUUAGCUAGAAAAAUGCUGAUAAGUUUUACAUGCAUUACAGUAGCUAAUAUUUCCUGCUUUUAAUCCUUUAGGACUUUUAAGUAUAAGCAAAUCUCUCAAUAGUUCUGUAUGUUCAUCAUAUUACUUUGACUUGAUUUAGUUUGAUGCAUGGAAGUUAAUGCGCAUUUAGAUGGGCAUUGCUGCACAUUAUUUCCAUUGAAGCUCAUUACAAUUCAUUUGUGAAUGCAUUGUCAUUGUACGAAGUUUUGUUAAUCUACUCGCUUUGGCAUCAUGGGCAUUUCAUUGAAAGUUUGCAUCUGAUAUUUACUGAAACCGGCCAAUAUAAUUUAUAAAUAGAUGAGUUUCUUAUUGGAAAAAUAAAACUCAAUCUUCCACCUUAUCAAUGUUCUUUAACUUGUUGGAUUUGAAUUAUGUAUCUUCUCUCUGUGUUUUAGAUGUUUUGCACUAGGUUUGCUUUGAUCUAAAUCCUCUUGAAUUGGUGUAGUAGUAUGGAUCUGGAUUCACACACACAUUCAGAUACACAAAACAUGGAGUUAGGUUUUUUGUACUGUGGUUGGUUGAUCUGAGAUGUAUGUAUCUGAGAUGUACAAAUCAUUAUGCGUGUGUACAAAUAUAUAUUUUUUUUCAUUCACUUUCUAGAUAAAGGUGAAAAGCUAUACCACACUAAAAUUAUUUGGGAGGGUGAAAGGAACUUGAGAAAGUAGAGCACUUGGGAUUGCUUAACAUAAAGGGAAACAUAUUAUUAGCAGCCUCUCGUAACCAAUGGAGACUGGAUCUAUAUAAUUAUGGAUACCGGUCUUUUUAUUUUUAAAGAAUCUAUAUAAGAUGUUGUACAAAUAUUUCUUGUUUAAAUUAUUGAUUGAGAUGUCAAUUUCUUUAAAUCAUCUUCAAAUCUAACUAAGGCAGGUCAAAAUUUUCUUCAACGUUCUUUUUAAAUUUCAUCAAAACACUGGUAGUCUAAUAUAAGAUGUACAUAUAUUUGCUGGUAGUCUAAUAUAAGAUGUACAUAUAUUUGGUGCUUAAAAACUGAAGAUAAUUGGCCUAUUGGCUCACAAAAAAAUAAAGCUUUUGCACAAAAAAAAUACAGUUUGUGACAGAAAUUUAAUCUACCAAAUAGCUGCCAUUUUAUGUAUAGUUUAUCCUUUAUAGAUUUUAUGAGUAUACUAUUAAGCUUAAACUUUAUUGUUGUUUGAAGUACUAUAUAAACCCUCAUUUUUUCAUUAAUAAACUUAACUUUUUUUUUCUUUUAUGUGAAAACUCAUGCAAAACCAACUUAUUAGAACUUUCAACUCAAGAACAUAGUUGUCUAUCAUUGUUCUAAACUUAGUCAACACAUUUUUGUAUAUGGCCAACACAUACAUUAUUGUCCCAACAGCAGACGACUACUCCAUAAGCCUUGGAGCUGCUGCAACCGUUUGCGGUGUUGUGAUUGGGGCAAUGGCAGUUGCACAUGUGUUUUCUUCAAUAUACUUCAGUGUGUGGUCAAAUAUAUCGUACUUCAGACCUCUUGUAUUUAGCAGUAUUGUUCUUCUUGUGGGGAACACCUUAUAUGCCUUGGCUUAUGAUCUUGACUCCAUAUAUGUUCUUCUAAUCGGCCGCCUAUGUUGUGGGUAGGUGAUCAUAUUCUCAUUCUCAUUCUCCUUCCUUCAUUUGUUAAAAUAUUUGAAAGUUUGUGUAUUAUUUUACUUAACAAGUCUGCUUAAAUCCUAUUAUAGACCAUUUUGCAUUCUUCUUUUUUUUUUUUCCUGGAAAUUUUUGUAUGCUCAAACUCAUUGCACAAUAUCUUACAAUGCUUUCGCCACAAUAACUAGACUAACUUAGUCAACUGAUUAGUAAAAAAUUUAAUUUAUAUUUAGUUACAAAUGUUGCCUUAGCAUAAUUUGAGAUCUGAAGAAAAAUUCAAUACAUUUUCAUAUUUUGUUGUGUUCAAUAAAUUUUUGAAAGAUUUUUGCAGAGAUAUCGUACUUCUUAAGUGAAUCUAAAAACUAAAAAAAUUUGAUUAAAAUGUUAAAAAAAUUCACUGAAAACAAAAACAUACAGAUUGAAAACUCAAAAAAUUAUUUUUGAAAACUUAAAACCAAACAGAGUGAAUAUAUUCUCUGGGUAAGAUAGCAUCAAGCUAAUAUGUUUAGCUCAUACCUCAUCGGAUUAAGUCCUGACUCAUUGGAAUUUUUGCAUUUUAUAAUGAUAUAUUUUAUAUGGAAAUAUUAUUCGUGUUCAUUUGUUUACAUAACAAAUCAACAAUGCUAUGUUUAUCAAUCUUGCACGUUGGGUUCUGCCAGAGCUAUUAACAGGCGUUAUAUCAGCUAUUGUGAACCUCUUAAAAUGCGAAUGCAGGCUUCUGCAGGUUUUGUUAGUGCCAGUGCCCUUGGAAUGGCAUGUGGUCCUGCUCUCACUUUCUUACUCCAAACGCAAUUUAAGCUCUUCAAUAUUACAUUUAAUGAAAACACUUUGCCCGGAUGGGUUAUGGCUCUGGCAUGGCUCAUCUACUUACUGUGGUUGUGGAUUUCAUUCAAAGAGCCAUCUUCUUAUGAGGCUGAAGAUAGUGUUGCAUCACAGGACGCGAAAACUGCAGGUUGACCUAACAGUAGUUUCCAGAUGUUGAGAAUGAGGGUGCUUCCAGAUGUUGUGUUGAGCACUAGUCCUGUUCAAUACUUCCCUUGUUCGGCUCGAAUUGCUCCCACAAUGUCAAUAUCAUAGGUUUAAUGCUGCAACCUCUUGCAAGAAAGACUCAGUGCGAGCAUUAUCGUGGACACUUUUAACUUUGAUUUUGCGAGUUGGUGCAACUUGUAGGACCGCAAAUAACACAUCUGCAAGUAAUAACAGUACAGUAUGAAUUGGUAUACCUAUGUGUCACAUUGUGUAUUAAGUAGAUGGACAAAUCUUACUUAUGUCUUGUGGCGGCUGAUCGUAGCGUUGAAGAUCAGUCAACUGAACAAAGUCAGGUGCGAAGUUGUGGAUAGUUAGCUGGUCAUCACUUAUUUCUUCAAUGCAUGUGCGCCCAGAUAUGGUCCUCUAAUAUUCGUCGAUGACAAGACGAUGUUCAACUGGAAUGGACUUUACAAUCGCAUUUGAAAUUGAAUAGGCAAUAAACAGUUGCAAAGUGUUCUCCAAAAUUUAAAUGUCGUCACCAAAAAUUGAUGCUUGUAUUUUGAGAUGUAAAACUGCUGAAUUUUGAGAUAUAAAACUUUUAACAUAUAUGAAGUUCAAAAUUCAGCAAGUUGAAACAA